RNAcentral lists this ribosomal RNA (478 nucleotides) under uncultured bacterium. Its description in RNAcentral is "partial 16S ribosomal RNA". It matches the Rfam family "Bacterial small subunit ribosomal RNA", at positions 28 to 523 of the family's 1533-position model. The record is from RNAcentral.
GACGAACGCUGGCGGCGUGCUUAACACAUGCAAGUCGAACGGUAAGGCCCUUCGGGGUACACGAGUGGCGAACGGGUGAGUAACACGUGGGUGAUCUGCCCUGCACUUCGGGAUAAGCCUGGGAAACUGGGUCUAAUACCGGAUAGGACCACUGCCUGCAUGGGUGGUGGUGGAAAGCUUUUGCGGUGUGGGAUGGGCCCGCGGCCUAUCAGCUUGUUGGUGGGGUGAUGGCCUACCAAGGCGACGACGGGUAGCCGGCCUGAGAGGGUGACCGGCAACACUUGGACUGAGAUACGGCCGAGACGCGUACGGGAGGCAGCAGAGGGGAAGAUUGAACAAUGGGCGCAAGCCUGAUGCAGCGACGCCGCGUGAGGGAUGACGGCCUUCGGGUUGUAAACCUCUUUCAGCACCGACGAAGCGCAAGUGACGGUAGGUGCAGAAGAAGGACCGGCCAACUACGUGCCAGCAGCCGCCGUAA